AACGCUGGCGGCGUGCUUGAUACAUGCAAGUCAAGGAGAAUUCCCGACUUGUCGGGAUAGUAAACUGGCGAACGGGUGAGUAACACGUAGGUAAUCUACCCUCGGGAUCGGGAUAACCUCGCGAAAGUGGGGAUAAUACCGAAUAAAGUCUCGGUAUAAUUUGUCGAGAUGAAAGAUGGGGAUCUUCGGACCUAUUACCUGAGGAUGAGCCUGCGCCUGAUUAGCUAGUUGGUAGGGUAAAUGCCUACCAAGGCAACGAUCAGUAGCUGGUCUGAGAGGAUGAUCAGCCACAUUGGGACUGAGAUACGGCCCAGACUCCUACGGGAGGCAGCAGUGAGGAAUUUUGCGCAAUGGGCGAAAGCCUGACGCAGCAACGCCGCGUGACUGAUUAAGCUCUGAGGAGUGUAAAAGUCUGUCGUAGAGGAAGAAACUAUCCGAUAAGAAUAUUGUCGGAUACUGACGGUACUCUAUGAGAAAGCUCCGGCUAACUCCGUG
RNAcentral lists this ribosomal RNA (495 nucleotides) under uncultured bacterium. Its description in RNAcentral is "bacterial SSU rRNA". It matches the Rfam family "Bacterial small subunit ribosomal RNA", at positions 32 to 507 of the family's 1533-position model. The record is from RNAcentral.